This 637-nucleotide long non-coding RNA is filed under the name Homo sapiens (human). RNAcentral's name for it is "HSALNT0391811". Lineage: Eukaryota; Metazoa; Chordata; Mammalia; Primates; Hominidae. The record is from RNAcentral.
GGGAGAGAGGGGCGGGCACUGGCUCCGGACCCGAAACUCCGCUCUCAGCAAAAAGCGGCUCCCGGGAACUGGAAGCCUGGCGAGCCAGCAAGUCGGAGGAAAGGGUGAAGAAGAGCAAACCUGCUCCCCGAACGACGCUUCCUUGGAAAUGAUAUGCAUGUACAAACACGUGCACACACAUGCGUGCACACCCAUAAGCAAACAUACAUACUUCCCAUUGGCCAGAACUUAAUCACAUGGGCACACCCAAGAGCAAAGAAGGCUGGGAAAUGUAGCCUGUGCCAAGUGACCACACACCCAGCUACAAACGGUCACCAGUUUCAAGAUUUGUACAUCCUGGUGUCACGGUGAAAAGCCUAUUGGUGGCAAGCACAUAAGGCACGUGGGAUGGCCAGGGGCCUCCAGCACAGGAAGGCCCCGAGUGAAAGCCUAGCAGAGGUAGGUGCCUGUGUGUCCUGGGACAUCCUACUGAGCAGGCAAACCACGGACACAUUCAGCUCCAAAAUAUUUCCAUAUGGUCCCGGUAUAGCAGUUGAAUUGGUUUGACUCAUGCAUUCUUUAAAUAGCAAGUACAAAUAACCUGGAUGAUUCUUAAUGUUCCAUUUAUUCCUCUAUCCGUUUAUUGUUCUGUGAUUUA